AGCGACCCUCCCAGCUCAGCCUCCCAAGUAGAUGGGACUACAGUGAAAGCACAUGUAUAUUACAGUGCACAUCUAUCGGCAUCUUCCAUGAGGUCAGGAUAUUUCUGAAGCCCGUCUGGUUGUACCACUGCAAGAGCCUGGGAGUACAACACAGUGCAUUUUCCUAGAGGGCCAACUUACUUAGUGAUGGAGGAAUGCUCAAGAACACAGGGAAGAAAAAUAGCUGGUUUGUUUUUUCCAAGGUUGGAAAACGAAGAAGAUAAGAAUAAGUGCAUCAACGACACAGUGUAUUUUUAAAGUUUUUUGUUUUUAAUUUUUGUGGGUACAUAGUAGAUAUAUAUAGUUAUGAGGACAUAGUGAAUUUUUUUUAGAGACCAAAAUUUUAGAAAUUCUGAAUGCUUUGGGGCAAUUGAAUUGGAGUGACAUUAUGCCUUUAAAGAAAAAAAACCAUGAAACUUCAAGCCCUGUUUUAAAAACUGUGAUGAGGCUUCAUUGGGAUUUAACUACCUAAUAGCUAAAUGGCCAUUAAAAGAUUUAUUAGAUAUUCACUUUAACUGACCCCAGGGGUGUCCUUCAAUUUUACUCAACAGCUGCAGUUUCUUUUGACUUUUUUGGCUCUUUUUUUUUUAAUCUCCCAAAAUGCUGAUAUAUGCAAAAGAUGUAUACAUCAAAGUGAUGUUUUAAUUCACUAAGUGCCUGAGGGGAAGGUGCACUAAGAAAAUAUAUUCAGUGAGAAGUUAGUUUGUAAUAGUGUUUAUUACCACAACUGAAGACACCAUUGUGGACACUAGAGACAAAUAGCCCACAACAAUAGGAAUCAAUCUUUAAUACACAUGAAGAAACUAAGAUAAUAUA
Molecule: long non-coding RNA, 855 nt
Filed under: Homo sapiens (human)
Lineage: Eukaryota; Metazoa; Chordata; Mammalia; Primates; Hominidae
Description: HSALNT0364388
Source: RNAcentral